RNAcentral lists this ribosomal RNA (347 nucleotides) under uncultured bacterium. Its description in RNAcentral is "partial 16S ribosomal RNA". It matches the Rfam family "Bacterial small subunit ribosomal RNA", at positions 338 to 703 of the family's 1533-position model. The record is from RNAcentral.
CCUACGGGUGGCAGCAGUGGGGGAUAUUGCACAAUGGAGGAAACUCUGAUGCAGCGACGCCGCGUGAGGGAAGACGGUCUUCGGAUUGUAAACCUCUGUCUGUGGGGAAGAAAAUGACGGUACGCAAAGAGGAAGCUACGGCUAACGACGUGCCAGCAGCCGCGGUAAUACGUAGGGAGCGAGCGUGUUCCGGAAUUACUGGGUGUAAAGGGAGCGUAGGCGGGGGAGAAAGUUGACUGUUAAAUCUACCGGCUUAACUGGUAGCUGCGUUCCAAACUUCUUGUCUUGAGUGAAGUAGAGGCCGGCGGCCUUCCUAGUGUAGCGGUGACAUGCGUAGCUAUUAGGAG